Molecule: ribosomal RNA, 251 nt
Filed under: uncultured prokaryote
Description: partial 16S rRNA
Rfam family: Bacterial small subunit ribosomal RNA
Source: RNAcentral
ACGGAGGGUGCGAGCGUUAAUCGGAAUCACUGGGCGUAAAGCGCAGGUAGGCGGUGUCGUAAGUCGGAUGUGAAAGCCCUCGGCUCAACCGGGGAACUGCAUUCGAUACUGCGAUGCUGGAGUGCAGGUGAGGGAGGCGGAAUUCCAGGUGUAGCGGUGAAAUCCGCAGAGAUCAGGAGGAACACCGAUGGCGAAGGCAGCCUUCUAGCCGGUCACUGACGCUGAGCUGCGAAAGCGUGGGUAUCAAACAG